UUUUUAUAACUUAUUCAAUUUCCAUUUUAGAUGGUGAACAAAUAAUUUUAUACUUUCUAAUUUCCUCUUAUUAUCAACUAUAGUUAUGCAGGCAAAGCAGAGCAAAACACCUUUUAGCAUUGUGCUCUGGGUUUCCUAAUCUUUUGAGUAAAUUUCAACUGCUCUUAUUUUUUUAUACUUCCCAAGUCAUGUUAGAGAAGGCAACAAUUAGUGGACAUAACACAUAAAAAGUUGUAAAAGGAAAUCGUCAAUAUAAGAAUUGACACAGUUCAAUUAUCUCAUCACACAUUCUUCAAUACAUAAAAAACAGCACAAUCAUAUGUUUUCUCAAGUUGAAAGCAACAACUACUAAUUAUUCAAAAG
Molecule: long non-coding RNA, 363 nt
Filed under: Solanum tuberosum (potato)
Lineage: Eukaryota; Viridiplantae; Streptophyta; Magnoliopsida; Solanales; Solanaceae
Description: long non-coding RNA (STUB_LNC000895)
Source: RNAcentral